Small nuclear RNA from Manis javanica (Malayan pangolin), 105 nucleotides. Lineage: Eukaryota; Metazoa; Chordata; Mammalia; Pholidota; Manidae. The record is from RefSeq and is a predicted model, not a curated record.
GUGCUCACUUCAGUAGCACAUACACUAAAUUUGGAAUGAUGCAGAGAUUUAGCAUGGCCUCUGCACAAGGAUGACACACAAGUUCAUGAAGCAUUCCAUAUUUUU